GAAAGGGUCAAUUCAAACAAAACUGGUGUCCAGAAGUUUCCGUGGGAGAAUUGUAGAACUAUAAUGUUCUGGCAGUAUUAGGAUGUGGGUUUGGUAAAACUUAACAACAACCCCCUGAACUGGCCCCCCAUGAUGACCCUCAACCACAGUGUUCAACAAAACAUGCUCUACGUUAAGAAAUCACAAGUUUCCUGGCUGGGUGGCCAUGUAGAGAACAUGCAAGCACAUUGUUACGUUCCCCAGUUUCUGUGUUGUGGUUUUGUAUGUGUGUGUUUCAGGAUGGCUUCCAGAAAUUGCCCUAAGCAGCUGAUUGGUCGGCCCCAUUUGAUGAUUGGAGCUGACUCCGCCCUCUCGUCAGAAACAGCUGUCUUCAAUGACCGACUCCUUCUCCAGCUAUAUAAGCCAGUGUUCUGUUGCAGAGAGAAGAGCUGAUGUCAUAUGUUGGUUGUUUCUCAGAAAGAGAUUUGGGAGGAAGGAGAAGGCACCUAGGGAGUGCUUAGGCAAGAGGCCCGCGGGCAUACAUAUACCCGUAGUAUAUUCACUAUCUUGGCACACUAGGACCUGAGCCCUAGGACCAUGGCCCAGGACUACCUGACAUGAUGACUCCUUGCUGUCCCCAGUCCACCUGACCGUGCUGCUACUCCAGUUUCAACUGUUCUGCCUUAUUAUUAUACGACCAUGCUGGUCAUUUAUGAACAUUUGAACAUCUUGGCCAUGUUCUGUUAUAAUCUCCACCCGGCACAGCCAGAAGAGGACUGGCCACCCAACAUAGCCUGGUUCCUCUCUAGGUUUCUUCCUAGGUUUUGGCCUUUCU
This is a long non-coding RNA of Oncorhynchus tshawytscha (Chinook salmon), 814 nucleotides long. Lineage: Eukaryota; Metazoa; Chordata; Actinopteri; Salmoniformes; Salmonidae. The record is from Ensembl.